GUUUGUCAUUUGUAAAUUUUAUAAAUUUACCACAAUGCAAAGUGACUAUUUAAGGAAAUUAUUAUGGGAAACUCCGCAGAUGUUUUAGAAAGAUAUUCAUUGAAGCUGAAAAUAAUUGGAGAUAUAGAUCCAUAUACAUGCAAUUCAGUCAUCAGAAUUGGAUUUUACAGUGCAUUUCAUCAAUUACUGUUAUAAUGCUAUUAUAGAUAGACUGGUAGAGUCUCACAGUUACUACUUUAAGCAGCAGAUGAAAGCAUACAAAAGCCUUCAGACACAUAAAAGCCUUCACAACUGGAUUUGUUUUGAAACAUUUGAUGUUUUGAUGAUUUCUAUAUUAUUGUUGGAAAGGUGAAGAAUUCCCAAAAAGCUAAUGCUAAACCACUAGAUGCUUGGGUGAUAGCCAGUUUCAAUGGCAUAGCAAAUGCACAUUGUAUGUGUAUUGCCGGUAAUAGUGAAGUUUGCAGCCAUAUUGCAGCAAUCUUAUUUGCAGCUGAGUAUGCCCACAGCAAGACAGAAGAAGAAGAACCCAGUGCAUGUACAGAUAUUACAGCUAUGUAUAUUCUCUGGUGAAAAACUAAUGAGUUUUCAAGCUGUUCGGUCAGAGUGCUUGUUGCGCUCUCUAAACGAACUGAAAUAUAAGACGGCUUUGGCUUCAUGUUGCAGCGAUAUGAAAAUGGUGUCUGGAUCUUUUUGUAUGCAAAAAUUUGUAAUAAUUAUUUGAAAUCAUUUUGAGGAUUAUAAGACUAUGGAAAUAUAUGUGAGAACACAGACUAUUAUAGUUUUGUCCUAUUUUUUAUCAUUCAAUCGUCUUCUUUAAAAUUUAUAAAUAUAAAGCAGAUAGUUUUCAUUGAAAUUCAAUAUAUUGGGUCUUAUUUGUAUGUAUUCAUUUUUGACUAAAGGUACGAUUCCGAUAACGACUGCAGACAGCAACUGCAAACAUCAGUUGCAGUUCUCGGCGUUAUGGACGUUACUACUUUGCACUAUUUAUCUGUAUGAGACUGAUUCCGACAUCUGACUGCUACUGCUGUCUGGCAGAACAUCAGUUGCUAAUAAUUAUGCAAAUUAUUAGUGCAAAAUAAUGACGUCUGUCAUGGUGACAACUGUAACUGCCAUCUGCAGUCGUUGUCGGAAUCGUACCUUUAAAGUGUGUGGUAUAAUUAUAAUAAUUAUAUAUAUUAUAUAACUUCAAUGGUUUAAACUUAAGUUUGUUAUUACAUUGUGACUUAAAUGUUUAAUUUGUUAAUAAAUGAUUUAUUAGUUUAUAUGUUGUUUCACUUUUGACACAGUAAAUACUUAUAAUAUAAAAAGUGAAAAUUCUAUGUAUGUUAUAUAUGUUGCAUUGAAGAUAUUGUAAUUCUAUGCAUUUUAACAAGCCUUCCAUUUGGUUUUACUUAAAUGGAAAAAUUGCAAUACUAACAAUGCCCAUACGAAUAAUUGAAUGGGCCUGCCGAAUAACGUUGUAAACGCCACAUGGUUUGUUUUUGAGAAGUCAAAGAAAAAGUUUUAAUAUUGUGAUGAUGGUGAGUUUAUACAUUUUAAGGGUAGUAAUACAGUUUUUAAAUACAAAAUAC
Diabrotica virgifera virgifera (western corn rootworm) is the source of this 1571-nucleotide long non-coding RNA. RefSeq lists it as uncharacterized. The transcript has 4 exons. Lineage: Eukaryota; Metazoa; Arthropoda; Insecta; Coleoptera; Chrysomelidae. The record is from RefSeq and is a predicted model, not a curated record.